This 872-nucleotide ribosomal RNA is filed under the name Fomitiporia mediterranea. Its description in RNAcentral is "LSU rRNA". It matches the Rfam family "Eukaryotic large subunit ribosomal RNA", at positions 66 to 915 of the family's 3401-position model. Lineage: Eukaryota; Fungi; Basidiomycota; Agaricomycetes; Hymenochaetales; Hymenochaetaceae. The record is from RNAcentral.
UAACAAGGAUUCCCCUAGUAACUGCGAGUGAAGCGGGAAGAGCUCAAAUUUAAAAUCUGGCAGUCUUCUGGCUGUCCGAGUUGUAAUCUGGAGAAGCGUUUUCUGUGUUAGACCGUGUACAAGUCUCCUGGAACGGAGCGUCAUAGAGGGUGAGAAUCCCGUCCAUGACACGGACUACUAAUACUUUGUGAUACGCUCUCGAAGAGUCGAGUUGUUUGGGAAUGCAGCUCAAAAUGGGUGGUAAAUUCCAUCUAAAGCUAAAUACAGGCGAGAGACCGAUAGCGAACAAGUACCGUGAGGGAAAGAUGAAAAGCACUUUGGAAAGAGAGUUAAACAGUACGUGAAAUUGUUGAAAGGGAAACGCUUGAAGUCAGUCGCGCUGUGCAGAACUCAGCCUUGCCUCGGCUUGGUGUACUUUCUGCACAACGGGUCAACAUCAAUUUUGGCCCAUGGAGAAAGGUAGGGGGAAUGUAGCGCUGUUUCGGCAGCGUGUUAUAGCCCUCUAUUGUAUACAUGGGCUGGGAUUGAGGAUCGCAGCACGCCCUUGUGGCCGGGGGUUCGCCCUACGUACCGUGCUUGGGAUGUUGGCAGAAUGGCUUUAAGCGACCCGUCUUGAAACACGGACCAAGGAGUCUAACAUGCUUGCGAGUGUUCGGGUGGAAAACCCUUGUGCGUAAUGAAAGUGAAAGUUGGGAACCUCCGCAAGGGGGUGCACCGACGCCCGGCCCUGACGUUCUCUGACGGUGCUGCGGUAGAGCAAGUAUGCUAGGACCCGAAAGAUGGUGAACUAUGCCUGAAUAGGGCGAAGCCAGAGGAAACUCUGGUGGAGGCUCGUAGCGAUUCUGACGUGCAAAUCGAUCGUCAAAUUUGGG